RNAcentral lists this ribosomal RNA (777 nucleotides) under Parmotrema pseudotinctorum. RNAcentral describes it as "SSU rRNA". It matches the Rfam family "Bacterial small subunit ribosomal RNA", at positions 358 to 1112 of the family's 1533-position model. The record is from RNAcentral. Lineage: Eukaryota; Fungi; Ascomycota; Lecanoromycetes; Lecanorales; Parmeliaceae.
AAUUUUUGGGUCAAUUAGCCUACCGGGCUGAACCAGCCAACUUUGGAAGGAAAUGUUAUAGCCAUAGGUUACUUGUUUCAUUAAUGAUGCAAGCCUCGGACUAUUUGAAUAAAUUUUAGGUAGAAUUAUGAUAAUGACAUUGUUCUGCCUAUGUGUCUUGACCAAAAUUACGUGCCAGCAGUCGCGGUAAUACGUAGAAGACUAGUGUUAUUUCAUGUUUAAUCGGUUUAAAGGGUACCUAGACGGUGAAUCAAGCUUUAGAAUAAAGAAGAAAAGGAACUAAUUCGCUAGAGUUACUUACGAGGGGGUAGUAAAGUACUGCUGGUGUAGAGAUGAAAUUCUGUCAUACCUCUUUUCGAAAGAAAAAUUAUGGCACAGGUAUAGGCGAAGGCAUCCCCUUAUGUGAUAACUGACGUUGAGGGACGAAGGCUUCGUGGAACAAACAGGAUUAGAUACCCUAGUAGUUGAAGCAGAAAAUGAUGAAUGUCAUAGAUUAGACGUCUAAGUUUAUUCUAUAAAUGAAAGUGUAAGCAUUCCACCUCAUGAGUAAUUUGGCAACAUUGGAAUUGAAAUCAUUAGACCGUUUCUGAAACCAGUAGUGAAGUAUGUUGUUUAAUUUGAUAAUACGCAAAAAACCUUACCACAAUUUGAAUCUUUAUAUUGUUUAUUGUUAUCUUAUUAAUUUUCUUAAAAAAACUAAUUAUAGCAAAAGCAUUUUAAAACAGGAAAAGAAAAUUAAUCAAGAGGCAAUAACAUAUAUCUACAACCCUCCACGCC